UACGGAGGGAGCUAGCGUUGUUCGGAAUUACUGGGCGUAAAGCGCACGUAGGCGGCUUUUUAAGUCAGGGGUGAAAUCCCGGGGCUCAACCCCGGAACUGCCCUUGAAACUGGAGAGCUAGAAUCUUGGAGAGGCGAGUGGAAUUCCGAGUGUAGAGGUGAAAUUCGUAGAUAUUCGGAAGAACACCAGUGGCGAAGGCGACUCGCUGGACAAGUAUUGACGCUGAGGUGCGAAAGCGUGGGGAGCAAACAGGG
This 254-nucleotide ribosomal RNA is filed under the name uncultured bacterium. Its description in RNAcentral is "partial 16S ribosomal RNA". It matches the Rfam family "Bacterial small subunit ribosomal RNA", at positions 524 to 777 of the family's 1533-position model. The record is from RNAcentral.